RNAcentral lists this ribosomal RNA (830 nucleotides) under insect metagenome. RNAcentral's name for it is "bacterial SSU rRNA". It matches the Rfam family "Bacterial small subunit ribosomal RNA", at positions 8 to 845 of the family's 1533-position model. The record is from RNAcentral.
AGAGUUUGAUCCUGGCUCAGGACGAACGCUGGCGGCGUGCUUAACACAUGCAAGUCGAACGGAAAGGCCCUGCUUUUGUGGGGUGCUCGAGUGGCGAACGGGUGAGUAACACGUGAGUAACCUGCCCUUGACUUUGGGAUAACUUCAGGAAACUGGGGCUAAUACCGGAUAGGAGCUCCUGCUGCAUGGUGGGGGUUGGAAAGUUUCGGCGGUUGGGGAUGGACUCGCGGCUUAUCAGCUUGUUGGUGGGGUAGUGGCUUACCAAGGCUUUGACGGGUAGCCGGCCUGAGAGGGUGACCGGCCACAUUGGGACUGAGANACGGCCCAGACUCCUACGGGAGGCAGCAGUGGGAAUAUUGCACAAUGGGCGGAAGCCUGAUGCAGCAACGCCGCGUGCGGGAUGACGGCCUUCGGGUUGUAAACCGCUUUCGCCUGUGACGAAGCGUGAGUGACGGUAAUGGGUAAAGAAGCACCGGCUAACUACGUGCCAGCAGCCGCGGUGAUACGUAGGGUGCGAGCGUUGUCCGGAUUUAUUGGGCGUAAAGGGCUCGUAGGUGGUUGAUCGCGUCGGAAGUGUAAUCUUGGGGCUUAACCCUGAGCGUGCUUUCGAUACGGGUUGACUUGAGGAAGGUAGGGGAGAAUGGAAUUCCUGGUGGAGCGGUGGAAUGCGCAGAUAUCAGGAGGAACACCAGUGGCGAAGGCGGUUCUCUGGGCCUUUCCUGACGCUGAGGAGCNAAAGCGUGGAGGUNGCUAGAUNCAGGAUUAGAUACCCUGGUAGUCCACGCUGUAAACGGUGGGUACUAGGUGUCGUGGGUGGAGGUCGCUAGAUG